UGGGGUAUUUUUCGCAAUGGGGGAAACCCUGACGAAGCAACGCCGCGUGGAGGAUGAAGGCCCUCGGGUCGUAAACCCCUGUCCACCGGGAAGAAACCGUCGAGCCGAAUAGGCUGCGGCGUUGACUGUACCGGUGGAGGAAGCUCCGGCUAACUCUGUGCCAGCAGCCGCGGUAAUACAGAGGGAGCAAGCGUUGUUCGGAAUUACUGGGCGUAAAGGGCGCGUAGGCGGCCCCGCAAGUCUUGUGUGAAAUCCCCCGGCUCAACUGGGGAACUGCACAGGAAACUGCUGGGCUUGAGUUCGGGAGAGGGAAGCGGAAUUCCGGGUGUAGCGGUGAAAUGCGUAGAUAUCCGGAGGAACACCGGUGGCGAAGGCGGCUUCCUGGACCGACACUGACGCUGAGGCGCGAAAGCUAGGGUAGCAAACGGGAUUAGAUACCCCCGUAGUCC
RNAcentral lists this ribosomal RNA (449 nucleotides) under uncultured prokaryote. Its description in RNAcentral is "bacterial SSU rRNA". It matches the Rfam family "Bacterial small subunit ribosomal RNA", at positions 355 to 796 of the family's 1533-position model. The record is from RNAcentral.